RNAcentral lists this ribosomal RNA (545 nucleotides) under uncultured Verrucomicrobiales bacterium. Its description in RNAcentral is "bacterial SSU rRNA". It matches the Rfam family "Bacterial small subunit ribosomal RNA", at positions 355 to 896 of the family's 1533-position model. The record is from RNAcentral. Lineage: Bacteria; Pseudomonadati; Verrucomicrobiota; Verrucomicrobiia; Verrucomicrobiales.
UUUCGAAUCGUUCACAAUGGGGGCAACCCUGAUGGCGCGACGCCGCGUGGGGGAUGAAGGUCUUCGGAUUGUAAACUCCUGUCAUUGGGGACUAAUGGCCAGGCUCAUACCCUGGUUUGAAUUAACCCAAAGAGGAAGCAGUGGCUAACUCUGUGCCAGCAGCCGCGGUAAUACAGAGACUGCAAGCGUUACUCGGAUUCACUGGGCGUAAAGGGAGCGCAGGCGGACUGGUGUGUCAGGCGUGAAAUCUCGGGGCUCAACCCCGAGGCUGCGCCCGAAACUACUAGUCUAGAGACUUGGAGGGGUAAGCGGAAUUCUUGGUGGAGCAGUGAAAUGCGUAGAUAUCAAGAGGAACACCAACGGCGAAGGCAGCUUACUGGACAAGAUCUGACGCUCAGGCUCGAAAGCGUGGGGAGCAAAAGGGAUUAGAUACCCCUGUAGUCCACGCUGUAAACGGUGCGCAUUAGGUCUCGGAGCUUUCGAACGCUUCGGGGCUCAAGCUAACGCAUUAAAUGCGCCGCCUGAGGACUACGGCCGCAAGGCUA